GACGAACGCUGGCGGCGUGCUUAACACAUGCAAGUCGAGCGGUAAGGCCCUUUCGGGGGUACACGAGCGGCGAACGGGUGAGUAACACGUGGGUGACCUGCCUUUAGCUCUGGGAUAAGCCUGGGAAACCGGGUCUAAUACCGGAUAUGACUCCGCGGCGCAUGUUGUGGGGUGGAAAGCCUUGUGCGGCUGGAGAUGGGCCCGCGGCCUAUCAGCUUGUUGGUGGGGUGAUGGCCUACCAAGGCGACGACGGGUAGCCGGCCUGAGAGGGCGACCGGCCACACUGGGACUGAGACACGGCCCAGACUCCUACGGGAGGCAGCAGUGGGGAAUCUUGCGCAAUGGGCGAAAGCCUGACGCAGCGACGCCGCGUGAGGGAUGACGGCU
Molecule: ribosomal RNA, 387 nt
Filed under: uncultured bacterium
Lineage: Bacteria
Description: bacterial SSU rRNA
Rfam family: Bacterial small subunit ribosomal RNA
Source: RNAcentral